AUGGACAAGGAGAGUCCGUGUUGGAAGAGCACCAAUGGAACGCUCCCCCCCUGCGCCGGCGGGACAACUGCCCUGGAAAAAGCACUUCGUGGUUAUGCAAAUGAGAAGACACCAACCGUCAUAGUACAUGUAGUCGGAAGCACAUUUGAUUCACUUGGGGAGGCGUACGAUUUUUACAAUCUCUAUUUAUGGGAAAAAGGGUUUGGAAUCAGGUACAGCAAAAGCAGGCUAAAUGUGGAGAGAACAAAGUGCAUGCAAGAGAUUGUGUGUGGUUGCUCGGGUGUCCCCAAAAGAAGCAACACACGAACCUGUCGCUGCCGAUGUCCCGCAAUGAUAAGGUUACUCCGGACAAAUGACAAUGGCUGGUAUAUUAGUGAGCACAGAGCAUCCCAUAAUCACUCACUAACGGAAAAUUGUAGCGAGAAGCUGUACUGGCCUUCACACAGACAUAUUGACAUAUACACAAGAGAUGUUGUGAAGCAGCUGCGCGAAAACAACAUAAGUAUUGGUAAGGUGUACAACAUAAUUGGUAGUUUCUUCGGCGCAAUGAGCAACGUGCCAUUCAGCAAGAGAGCUUUGAGGGGGUUGUGUGGACAGAUCAGCAGAGAACAAGUUGAUGAUGAUGUGCGCAAAACAAUGGAAGUUUUUGCUGAGCUUGGAGCAAAAGACUCUGGCUUGUACUACAGGGUGCAGCCAGAUGAGGACAAUCGGAUAAGGAAUUUGUUGUGGUCAACAGGAGCAAGCAGGUCUCAGUACCAUUUCUUCGGAGAUGCAAUAACAUUUGACACCACAUACCGGACAAAUAUGUAG
RNAcentral lists this ribosomal RNA (810 nucleotides) under Triticum aestivum (bread wheat). Its description in RNAcentral is "partial small subunit ribosomal RNA". Lineage: Eukaryota; Viridiplantae; Streptophyta; Magnoliopsida; Poales; Poaceae. The record is from RNAcentral.